UCUUGAGAGCGGCGGACGGGUGAGUAAUGCCUAGGAAUCUGCUUGGUAGUGGGGGAUAACGUUCGGAAACGGACGCUAAUACCGCAUACGUCCUACGGAGAAAAGCAGGGGACCUUCGGGCCUUGCGCUAUCAGAUGAGCCUAGUCGGAUUUAGCUAGUUGGUGAGGUAAUGGCUCACCAAGGCGACGAUCCGUAACUGGUCUGAGAGGAUGAUCAGUCACACUGGAACUGAGACACGGUCCAGACUUCUACGGGAGGCAGCAGUGGGGAAUAUUGGACAAUGGGCGAAAGCCUGAUCCAGCCAUGCCGCGUGUGUGAAGAAGGUCUUCGGAUUGUAAAGCACUUUAAGUUGGGAGGAAGGGUACUUACCUAAUACGUGAGUAUUUUGACGUUACCGACAGAAUAAGCACCGGCUAACUCUGUGCCAGCAGCCGCGGUAAUACAGAGGGUGCAAGCGUUAAUCGGAAUUACUGGGCGUAAAGCGCGCGUAGGUGGUUCGUUAAGUUGGAUGUGAAAUCCCCGGGCUCAACCUGGGAACUGCAUCCAAAACUGGCGAGCUAGAGUAUGGUAGAGGGUGGUGGAAUUUCCUGUGUAGCGGUGAAAUGCGUAGAUAUAGGAAGGAACACCAGUGGCGAAGGCGGCCACCUGGACUGAUACUGACACUGAGGUGCGAAAGCGUGGGGAGCAAACAGGAUGAGAUACCCUGGUAGUACACGCCGUUAACGACGUCAACAAGCCGUUGAGAGCCCUGA
This 752-nucleotide ribosomal RNA is filed under the name Pseudomonas chlororaphis. Its description in RNAcentral is "bacterial SSU rRNA". It matches the Rfam family "Bacterial small subunit ribosomal RNA", at positions 87 to 835 of the family's 1533-position model. Lineage: Bacteria; Pseudomonadati; Pseudomonadota; Gammaproteobacteria; Pseudomonadales; Pseudomonadaceae. The record is from RNAcentral.